RNAcentral lists this ribosomal RNA (177 nucleotides) under uncultured Mycobacterium sp. RNAcentral's name for it is "partial 16S ribosomal RNA". It matches the Rfam family "Bacterial small subunit ribosomal RNA", at positions 355 to 540 of the family's 1533-position model. The record is from RNAcentral. Lineage: Bacteria; Bacillati; Actinomycetota; Actinomycetes; Mycobacteriales; Mycobacteriaceae.
UGGGGAAUAUUGCACAAUGGGCGCAAGCCUGAUGCAGCGACGCCGCGUGAGGGAUGACGGCCUUCGGGUUGUAAACCUCUUUCAGUACCGACGAAGCGCAAGUGACGGUAGGUGCAGAAGAAGCACCGGCCAACUACGUGCCAGCAGCCGCGGUAAUAAUCACUAGUGAAUUCGCGG